AGUGAACGCUGGCGGUAGGCCUAACACAUGCAAGUCGAACGGCAGCACAGAGGAGCUUGCUCCUUGGGUGGCGAGUGGCGGACGGGUGAGGAAUACAUCGGAAUCUACUCUGUCGUGGGGGGAAACGUAGGGAAACUUACGCUAAUACCGCAUACGACCUACGGGAGAAAGCAGGGGCCCUUCGGGCCUUGCGCGAUCGCAUGCGCCGAUGUCGGAUUAGCUAGUUGGCGGGGUAAAGGCCCACCAAGGCGACGAUCCGUAGCUGGUCUGAGAGGAUGAUCAGCCACACUGGAACUGAGACACGGUCCAGACUCCUACGGGAGGCAGCAGUGGGGAAUAUUGGACAAUGGGCGCAAGCCUGAUCCAGCCAUACCGCGUGGGUGAAGAAGGCCUUCGGGUUGUAAAGCCCUUUUGUUGGGAAAGAAAUCCAGCUGGCUAAUACCCGGUUGGGAUGACGGUACCCAAAGAAUAAGCACCGGCUAACUUCGUGCCAGCAGCCGCCGUAA
This 506-nucleotide ribosomal RNA is filed under the name uncultured bacterium. RNAcentral describes it as "partial 16S ribosomal RNA". It matches the Rfam family "Bacterial small subunit ribosomal RNA", at positions 29 to 523 of the family's 1533-position model. The record is from RNAcentral.